This 489-nucleotide ribosomal RNA is filed under the name uncultured bacterium. RNAcentral describes it as "bacterial SSU rRNA". It matches the Rfam family "Bacterial small subunit ribosomal RNA", at positions 28 to 526 of the family's 1533-position model. The record is from RNAcentral.
GACGAACGCUGGCGGCGUGCUUAACACAUGCAAGUCGAACGAUGAAGCGGUGCUUGCACCGUGGAUUAGUGGCGAACGGGUGAGUAACACGUGAGUAACCUGCCCUUGGCUCUGGGAUAAGCGCUGGAAACGGUGUCUAAUACUGGAUAUGACUUCAUGCCGCAUGGUGUGGGGUGGAAAGAUUUAUCGGCCAUGGAUGGGCUCGCGGCCUAUCAGCUUGUUGGUGGGGUAGUGGCCUACCAAGGCGACGACGGGUAGCCGGCCUGAGAGGGUGACCGGCCACACUGGGACUGAGACACGGCCCAGACUCCUACGGGAGGCAGCAGUGGGGAAUAUUGCACAAUGGGCGCAAGCCUGAUGCAGCGACGCCGCGUGGGGGAUGAAGGCCUUCGGGUUGUAAACUCCUUUCGCCAUUGACGAAGCCCUUUGGGGUGACGGUAGGUGGAGAAGAAGCACCGGCUAACUACGUGCCAGCAGCCGCCGUAAAAC